Populus euphratica (Euphrates poplar) is the source of this 778-nucleotide long non-coding RNA. RefSeq lists it as uncharacterized. The transcript is spliced from 2 exons. Lineage: Eukaryota; Viridiplantae; Streptophyta; Magnoliopsida; Malpighiales; Salicaceae. The record is from RefSeq and is a predicted model, not a curated record.
AAGAGGAUGACUUUACCUCUCCUAUUACUACCGGCCAAAAUAGCCCCUAGCAACCCCCUCUUUUACAAAAUUUCCAGCAAAAUGUUCUCCUGCAUUUCAUCCAUAAAAUGCUAGAGUGAAUGAGGAGUGAAAGUGAGGAGAAAGGCCACAAAAUAGAGAUGUAGAGAGAGAGAGAUUCACGGCUAAAGGCAGAAAGAGAGGGAGAAGAAUCAACCAAGGAAGAGAACAAGAAGAACAUGUAUACAGUUGUGAAAAAUCAUCCUUAAUCCUUGCUUAAUUCAUAUGAAGAAGCAUACAGAGUGGGACCUGACUUCUCACAUGCAAGUACAACAGAAGUUCAAGGUAAGGGUUGCCCCCUUGCUUCUUUAAAUUGUUUAAAUUCUUGUAAUGCUAGUUAUAUGAUAGACAUUAUAUGUAUUUUGUACUACUAUGUAUCAUGAGAAAUAUUGCUAUAUGAAUAUUGCUUAUGGGGAGUAUAAAUAUUGUUGCGUGAAAGUUACCAACAAGUAGGAAAAAAAUUAUUAUUGUGUGACCAUUGCCAAUGAGCAAGAAAUGUUAUUGCAAUGUGAAUGUUGCCUACGAGCAAAGAAACAAAUACUAAUUCUAUGUGAAUGUUGCCUACAAGCAUGAGAAAUAAUAUUAUUAUAUGAAUAUGUCCACCUGGUGAAUAUGACUAUAGAAAGGAAAGAUACGGUGAAACGAACAUGGAUUUGAAAUCUGAAUUUUGGUCGUAGACUCUGGGAUUUGGAGUUUGGAUAUGGGUCGAUAUAUAUAUAUA